RNAcentral lists this transfer RNA (72 nucleotides) under Candidatus Latescibacterota bacterium. Its description in RNAcentral is "tRNA-Arg". It matches the Rfam family "tRNA". Rfam says of the family: Transfer RNA (tRNA) molecules are approximately 80 nucleotides in length. Their secondary structure includes four short double-helical elements and three loops (D, anti-codon, and T loops). The record is from RNAcentral. Lineage: Bacteria; Pseudomonadati; Candidatus Latescibacterota.
GUCCCCAUAGCCUAACGGAUAAGGCAGCGGUCUUCUAAAUCGCGGAUCUGGGUUCAAUUCCUAGUGGGGAUG